GGGGAAGGGUUGGACUCGAUGAGCUUAGAGGUCUUUUCCUACCUGUUUGAUUCUAAAGGGGGAAAAACAACAUUAAAAGCUUGUUCAGGCUGCUGUUGCCCUCGAGUCAGACAUCUGUUGAUCGAUAGGAAUGCUGAAGCCGGUGUGAACUACAGGAGUUCAUCGCCUUUGAAAGCAUCGGCUCCUGUGGCUGUUCUGUAUAGAGCGGCGUGCGGAGCAGCACUUGCAAAUGGGAAAGCUUUUAACGUUCCAGCGGCACAGGGGUAAUGUAGAACACUUCCUUGCGUGAGGGGGUAAAAGAGGCUCUUGCUGCAUGAAGUGGUUCCUUCCUUGCUGUUUUUGAAAGGAAAAUCACAUCAUGUAACAGGUAAAGGACAAACAAAGGUGACAUUUAUUGAUGUUUAAGUUGCUUUUGACAUUAUUCGUUUCAGCGUAGAAUUCUGUUCCUAGUUGGCUGAUGCCUUUUGAGUGCCUACUGAGUAGCCAAAGCUUACUGAUUAUUCAGUCAGGCUGUGAGGCUUCUGCCGCCAGAUGAAGCAAAUACUUUGCCGAGCUCAGCUCACUGUUGGAUUUAAGUGUGCACAAAAUACUUUCUGAGCUUUUUUGCUGACAGCCUGCAUGACAGAUAAAGUACCAGUGCAUGACAGCAGGGGGUUGUUGGAUAUUCCACAGAUGUUUUUAGCAGCUGCUUUCCUUGUCUUUGCCCACAGGGCAGGUCCUGUAGUAUUAUUGAUCUCCUUCAACUGAGAGCUUUCUCUCUGGCUUUGAAGGGUUAUUGGUGUAGGCUCCUCCAGAAGUUUUCUGCAAAGGCCUGGCUUUGAAUUGAGUUUUGCUUUGAAUCAGACCUCAUGUAGCAGUCUGCCUCAGAUGGGACCAUAAUACUGGUGGCCAAUUUCUGCUGGACCUUUUCCAUUGGCGUCAGUUAAGCCUCCCAUGACAGAUUCAUGUAUCGUUUGUGUCUUGUUUUGGAGGCUGGUCUGCAGUUUGCAAGGAUGGGCAGUCUCAGCACUCAGAGAGAGGAAGAUCCUUGAGGAAAGCAGCUGAGGUCCUGAUAGCCAUAGUGCACAGCAUGUGUGUCACAGAUAAAUGCUGAAGACUUUACCAACAGAGGAAACUCACAUUCCCAGCUGUGCUGCACAGCAAGCCUUGCUGUGAACCAUCACUGCGAUUUCCACAGCACUAGGUUCCUGAAACAAAAUGGCAAUUAUUAGGGAAAAAAAAACUAAAUAACCUGAAACAAGAAGGCACACAUGUAUGGAAAUUCAUGACAAUAACUUCUGGUUGGAUUAAGUUUUUU
Molecule: long non-coding RNA, 1297 nt
Organism: Pezoporus occidentalis (night parrot)
Lineage: Eukaryota; Metazoa; Chordata; Aves; Psittaciformes; Psittacidae
Exons: 2
Source: RefSeq, a predicted model, not a curated record